ACAAUACGAACCCCAGAAACACAAAUGUUUAAUGUACACAGGCAUAGAUGUGUGCUGAUUGUGGAUUUAUUUUGUAUUCCUGCGUGCGUAUCUUCAAUGACCUUUAAUCCGUUUCAGAAAGCGCUUUAAUAAUGUAAUGUAUCGACUUGUUUCAUAGUUUGUCUGAUUGUGUAACUGUACUCUUUUUGUAAACAAGCAGUCGUUACGUAUGUUACAUUGCAAUGCAACAAUGUUUCAUUUCUUAUGCCAAAAAUCUAUGUAUAGAACAGUUAUUAAAUGCAAACAUGUGGUCCAAAAGCAAGCACUUCUGAAACGAAACCCAAUGCACGGAACAUGGAGGUCUUUCAACGCUGAACAUACUUGUUUUGAAUCAAGAGCACUUCCUAUAGUUCAUCAUGUCAAGUACAUAUGUGACCUCCCUGAAAACCACAGGUUUCCCAUGGGAAAGUUUCCCAAAGUCCUGGAGAGUCUACUUAGAGAUCAAAUCAUAACAGAUAAACAGGUGUGGGCCCCUAAGAUUGCCUCCACAGAGCUUCUGGGAUGUGUGCAUACUGAGGAGUACCUGUCUAACUUUAUUAGCGGACAAAUCAGUGAGAAAGAUCAGAGACGAACCGGAUUCCCAUGGAGUUCUGGUUUAGUACAACGCUGCAGAUAUGAAACAGGUGGCACCGUGCUGGCAGGAGAAAUCGCCCUGCAGAGGGGACUGGCGUGCAGUACAGCCGGAGGGACCCAUCAUGCCUUUCCCAGCUACGGCUCAGGUUUCUGUCUGCUCAAUGACCUGGCUGUGGCUGCCAAACACUUGAUGGGUGAGUCCACAUCCUGGAGGAAGAUUCUCAUCGUGGAUUUGGAUGUACAUCAGGGUGACGGCACAGCAUUCAUAUUUAAGGACGAACCCAAUGUUUUCACCUUCUCAGUGCAUUGUGGGAAAAACUUUCCUGUGCGAAAGCAGCAGAGUAACCUAGAUGUCAGUUUGGAAGAUGGCACUGAAGACAAAGAGUAUCUUUCCAAAGUGAUUUUGUGCAUUUGAACCCUUUCCAACAAUAACUGUAUGAUUUUGAGAUCCAUCUUUUCACACUGAGGACAACUGAGGGGCUCAUAUGCAACUACUACAGAAGGUUCAAACGCUCAUUGAUGCAUUUAUGCACUCUAAAUUAUGCAUGUAGAGCCAGGGGUGAAAACUUUUGAACAGAAUGAAGAUGUGUAAUUUUUUUCUUAUUUUGCCUAAAUAUCGCUUUUUUCCAUUUAGUACUGCCUUUCAGAAGCUACUUGCAUAUUUGCCAGAAGACAAAAUAAGUUAAAUUUACCCUGAUCUUCAAAUUUCCAAAAGUUUUCACCCCCUAAAUGCAUCUAAAUGCAUUGUGUAAAUAAUUUCAAUAAAUCUCUAUUAAAGGAAUAGUUGAAAUUGUACUCACCCUCAGGCCAUCCAAGAUGUAGAUGAGUUUGUUUCUUCAUUGGAAAAGAGUUGGAGAAAUUUACCAUCACAUCACUUGAUCUUAAGUGAAUGGGUGCCGUCAAAAUGACAGUCCAAACAGCUGAUAAAAACAUCACAGUUAUCCAAAAGAAUUCCACACAACUCCAGUUUAAUUAAUGUCUUGUGGAGUGAAAAGUAGUGUUUGUAAGACACAAAUUCAUCAUUAUGGCUUUUUAAAUUUAAACCCUCUGGUCAAAAAAAAGUCUAUAACCCAUAAUAACACUUCCUAAAGUGAAAAUGUCCAUCCCACAUGUCCUCUCACAUAAAAAUCCAUUGACGUAUAUAUGUUUCGAACUGUUUUCACUUGCAAACGGUGUUUGAUCUGUGCAUACUUCUCUCCUGAUUCAAAUCAUUUUCACUGAAAAAGCAAUAUUACAGAUAGAGGACAUGUAUUGUAUUUUAGUCAGAAGCAAUGGUUUAAAGUUAAAAACGUCUUAAAAAUGGAUUUGUUUUUUAUAAACAUAGAGCAUUCCACUUCACAAGAUGUUAACUGAUCAACAGAGUCAUGUUGUGGCUUACCGUGAUGUUUUUAUCAGUUGUUUGAACUCUAAUUUUGACAACACCCAUUCACUGCAGAGGAUCCAUUGGUGAGGAAGUGAUGUAAUGCUGAAUUUCUUCAAAUUUCCACUACUCCUUUAAGUAAGCUUAUGUGUGGUACUAUGGUAAAAAAUGCAUUAAGUCGUUUCCUGUGCAGUCCAGGAACACUUCCCUUGGAUACUGGAGACAUUCCGGCCGGAUCUAGUGCUGUAUGAUUCUGGAGUGGAUCCACACUGGGAGGAUGAACUUGGAAGACUUUGUCUCACAGAUGAAGGACUUUACCAGAGGGAUCUUUAUGUACUUCAG
RNA transcript from Labeo rohita (rohu), 2314 nucleotides. It is a transcript of the gene named histone deacetylase 12, with no coding region annotated. Lineage: Eukaryota; Metazoa; Chordata; Actinopteri; Cypriniformes; Cyprinidae. The record is from RefSeq and is a predicted model, not a curated record. The transcript has 7 exons.